Molecule: long non-coding RNA, 174 nt
Organism: Labeo rohita (rohu)
Lineage: Eukaryota; Metazoa; Chordata; Actinopteri; Cypriniformes; Cyprinidae
Exons: 3
Source: RefSeq, a predicted model, not a curated record
AGAGAUAGGAAGGUAUUAUCAAAAACAGUCGAUAAACACAGAGUUGGAUCCCUGAUCCUCACCAAACUUCCAGGAUCCAUGUGUAGGCAGGACAUCACAUCUGAAUACAAAAAUGAGAGCGCUGACAUGCCAUUUUGGGAAUCACAUGCUGCUGGUGGCAUGCUGUUUAGGGAA